Molecule: long non-coding RNA, 366 nt
Organism: Ipomoea nil (Japanese morning glory)
Lineage: Eukaryota; Viridiplantae; Streptophyta; Magnoliopsida; Solanales; Convolvulaceae
Exons: 3
Source: RefSeq, a predicted model, not a curated record
CUGGAUUAGACAUUCUGCAUUCAUUAUAGAUUGGCAUAAUUUUGGAUACACACUCCUUGCACUGUCUCUUGGCAGGAAUAGCCGAUUUGUCACAUUUUAUCAUUGGAUUGAAAAGCAUUAUGGGAGGAUGGCACAUGGGUCCUUAUGUGUGACGAUGGCAAUGCAACAUGAAUUGGCUCAAAACUGGGGUAUAAAGAAAUGCAGAUGGUGAGAGUCCAGACGUGGUUCAAGAUAGUCUGUGUAGAUGGUUCAAGAUAGUUUGUCUAAUGUUGGAUGAAAAUCAAAAGUAGUACAGCUAAAUUGCUUUUUAGUGCCUAUACUUUUCAUAUUAGACUAUGGACAUAUUAUAUUCGUCUAUUAAUUUCA